Molecule: ribosomal RNA, 478 nt
Filed under: uncultured bacterium
Lineage: Bacteria
Description: bacterial SSU rRNA
Rfam family: Bacterial small subunit ribosomal RNA
Source: RNAcentral
ACAGAUUUACUCGGUAAUGACGUUAGGAAAGCGAGCGGCGGAUGGGUGAGUAACACGUGGGGAACCUGCCCCAUAGUCUGGGAUACCACUUGGAAACAGGUGCUAAUACCGGAUAAGAAAGCAGAUCGCAUGAUCAGCUUUUAAAAGGCGGCGUAAGCUGUCGCUAUGGGAUGGCCCCGCCGGUGAUUAGCUAGUUGGUCGUACGUUUGGGUAAAGGUAAAAGGGCUUACCAAGGCGAUGAUGCAUAGCCGAGUUGAGAGACUGAUCGGCCACAUUGGGACUGAGACACGGCCCAAACUCCUACGGGAGGCAGCAGUAGGGAAUCUUCCACAAUGGACGCAAGUCUGAUGGAGCAACGCCGCGUGAGUGAAGAAGGUUUUCGGAUCGUAAAGCUCUGUUGUUGGUGAAGAAGGAUAGAGGUAGUAACUGGCCUUUAUUUGACGGUAAUCAACCAGAAAGUCACGGCUAACUACGUGCC